UACGAAGGGGGCUAGCGUUGCUCGGAAUCACUGGGCGUAAAGCGCACGUAGGCGGCUUUCUAAGUCAGGGGUGAAAUCCUGGAGCUCAACUCCAGAACUGCCUUUGAUACUGGGAAGCUCGAGUCCGGAAGAGGUGAGUGGAACUGCGAGUGUAGAGGUGAAAUUCGUAGAUAUUCGCAAGAACACCAGUGGCGAAGGCGGCUCACUGGUCCGGUACUGACGCUGAGGUGCGAAAGCGUGGGGAGCAAAC
RNAcentral lists this ribosomal RNA (250 nucleotides) under uncultured bacterium. RNAcentral describes it as "partial 16S ribosomal RNA". It matches the Rfam family "Bacterial small subunit ribosomal RNA", at positions 524 to 773 of the family's 1533-position model. The record is from RNAcentral.